GACGUAGGGCGCGAGCGUUGUCCGGAUUUAUUGGGCGUAAAGAGCUCGUAGGCGGCUCGUUGCGUCGGCUGUGAAAACCCGCAGCUCAACUGUGGGCUUGCAGCCGAUACGGGCGGGCUGGAGUUCGGUAGGGGAGACUGGAAUUCCAGGUGUAGCGGUGAAAUGCGUAGAUAUCUGGAGGAACACCGGUGGCGAAGGCGGCAUCCUGGACCGGUAUUGACGCUGAGGCGCGAAAGCUAGGGGAGCAAACGGG
RNAcentral lists this ribosomal RNA (253 nucleotides) under uncultured bacterium. Its description in RNAcentral is "partial 16S ribosomal RNA". It matches the Rfam family "Bacterial small subunit ribosomal RNA", at positions 524 to 776 of the family's 1533-position model. The record is from RNAcentral.